CCCUGUUCGUACCCUGCAGGCUGCAGAACUUACGUGGAUUUCGUUUGUUGGUGUUCGUGGUUCUUAAUUUGGAAAGCUACUUAAUUGAAUUUGAUUGUUUCAUUUAUAAAUGACCACUUCGAAUUUUUAGACUACUUUAGUUCAGUGGUGCUUGAAUUAGGCUAGCUUAAGGCGAACAGUGCUAGGCAAGUCUUUCAAAGGCUAACAUAUAGUAGGUAGCUACUACCUAUUGUAGCCAUUGCAAGACACCAUGGAACAUACUAAGAUUCUCCUGCUCCAGAAAGUAACAGGUAAAGCGUCAUCGAAGCAUGAAGAGUCGUCCUUUCGUUUAUGGAAAAAGUUGGAACGACGGAUUGGCCAGAAAUAUUAAAAAAUUGUAACGUUGUGUAAUUCGUCCAAGAGUGAUGCUUUGGUAAACUAGUUUUAAAAUCUGUGUGUCAGAGUAACAGACGAAAUAUAUAGAAUAAAUCUGAUAUAUCGAAUAAAUCUGACUGAGGUCUUUUGCAACUUAAUCCUAUACCAGGAUAAAACACGAAUAUUGUGGAAUUGUUGAGGGCACCAUGAGAAGAUCACGUAAGUCAUGAGGUCAAAAGAUCAUGACAACAGAUUGUACCUGAGGUAAGUUAUCUGACUGUACUCUCACG
This is a long non-coding RNA of Macrobrachium nipponense, 644 nucleotides long. RefSeq lists it as uncharacterized. The record is from RefSeq and is a predicted model, not a curated record. The transcript has 6 exons. NCBI's taxonomy places the organism in Eukaryota, Metazoa, Arthropoda, Malacostraca, Decapoda, Palaemonidae.